CCUACGGGUGGCAGCAGUGGGGAAUAUUGGUCAAUGGGCGCAAGCCUGACCCAGCAACGCCGCGUGAAGGAAGAAGGCUCUCGGGUUGUAAACUUCUUUUAUCAAGGACGAAACUAAUGGCGGUACUUGAAUAAUAAGCCACUGAUACCUACGUACCAGCAGCGGUGGUAAGACGGAGGUGGCAAGCGUUAUCCGUAUUUACUGGGGGUAAAGGGCGUGUAGGCGGGACAGCAAGUCAGAUGUGAAAACCAUGGGCUCAACCCAUGGACUGCAUUUGAAACUGUAGUUCUUGAGUGUUGGAGAGGCAGGCGGAAUUCCGGGUGUAGCGGUGAAAUGCGUAGAUAUACGGAGGAACACCAGUGGCGAAGGCGGCCUGCUGGACAAUAACUGACGCUGAGGCGCGAAAGCGUGGGGAGCAAACAGGAUUAGAUACCCUGGUAGUC
RNAcentral lists this ribosomal RNA (443 nucleotides) under uncultured bacterium. Its description in RNAcentral is "partial 16S ribosomal RNA". It matches the Rfam family "Bacterial small subunit ribosomal RNA", at positions 338 to 795 of the family's 1533-position model. The record is from RNAcentral.